UACGUAGGGUGCAAGCGUUGUCCGGAAUUAUUGGGCGUAAAGAGCUUGUAGGCGGUUUGUCGCGUCUGCUGUGAAAUUUCGGGGCUCAACCCCGAACUUGCAGUGGGUACGGGCAGACUAGAGUGUGGUAGGGGAGACUGGAAUUCCUGGUGUAGCGGUGAAAUGCGCAGAUAUCAGGAGGAACACCGAUGGCGAAGGCAGGUCUCUGGGCCAUAACUGACGCUGAGAAGCGAAAGCAUGGGGAGCGAACAGGG
This 254-nucleotide ribosomal RNA is filed under the name uncultured bacterium. Its description in RNAcentral is "partial 16S ribosomal RNA". It matches the Rfam family "Bacterial small subunit ribosomal RNA", at positions 524 to 777 of the family's 1533-position model. The record is from RNAcentral.